Molecule: long non-coding RNA, 701 nt
Organism: Perca fluviatilis (European perch)
Lineage: Eukaryota; Metazoa; Chordata; Actinopteri; Perciformes; Percidae
Exons: 2
Source: RefSeq, a predicted model, not a curated record
UAAUAUGUAAUGUUCGAUAUGAAUGAAUUGUACUAAAUCAAAUACUGUUACUCGUUAACAUGAUGGUUAGUGUCCAUCAUGCUUUUGGAUUCUGCAUCAGACAACUUUUAAAAAUAGCUAAUGUUAGCUAGCGUUAGCUAACAUUAGCUAGCGUUAGCUAGCAGUAACAGUCUAAGAAUAUGGUACAGAUGAAGUUGGAAAUGUUUUGGCAAGGAAAUUAUUGGAUAUGACUGAAUUUCCAUUUGUAGUUGCAUUAUAGCUUUUGGAUUUUGCUGAGGACAACUUUUUGAAUUCGGUCAUGUUAGCUAAUGCUAGCUAACGUUAGCUAGCGCUAGUCUUAGCCUAAAAAUCCAUUUUGAACUGAUGUUUGGCAAGGAUGUGACAGUAUUUGUUGCUGUAAUUGUGUUGUAAUGUGUUUGUAGAGAGGAAAAUGCCAGGCGGAGAGGGAAGAAAAGAGAUCACCUGCCGGAGGGACUGAAGCAAGUAAAAAGAUGCUCUUACACAGCAGAUGGGGACAGCCGCCGUCACCCAAUUUAAUUUUGCCCAGGCCGUGCAACAGUUGCUGCACUAUGCGUCAGACCGGGCAGGAUGGACUGGACGACAAAGCAGUCAGACGUCAGAGGACCAUGAACUGUAACUAUGCUAAAGAGGACAAAUAAUGAAAUAAGAGGCUAAUAAAAUGAAUUUGUUUUUACCUUAAA